RNAcentral lists this ribosomal RNA (420 nucleotides) under uncultured bacterium. RNAcentral's name for it is "bacterial SSU rRNA". It matches the Rfam family "Bacterial small subunit ribosomal RNA", at positions 356 to 773 of the family's 1533-position model. The record is from RNAcentral.
AAGGAAUAUUGGUCAAUGGAGGAAACUCUGAACCAGCCAUCCCGCGUGCAGGAAGAAUGCCCUAUGGGUUGUAAACUGCUUUUAUCUGGGAAGAAAAGCCGGCAUUUAUGUUGGUCUGACGGUACCAGAGGAAUAAGCACCGGCUAACUCCGUGCCAGCAGCCGCGGUAAUACGGAGGGUGCAAGCGUUAUCCGGAAUUACUGGGUUUAAAGGGUGCGUAGGUGGCGCUGUAAGUCAGUGGUGAAAGGUUCCGGCUUAACCGGAGAAUGGCCUUUGAUACUGCAGUGCUAGGAUUGGGUUGAGGUUGGCGGAAUGUGACAUGUAGCGGUGAAAUGCAUAGAUAUGUCAUAGAACACCGAUUGCGAAGGCAGCUGACUGGACCUUGAUUGACACUGAGGCACGAAAGCGUGGGGAGCGAAC